This is a non-coding RNA of Camelina sativa (false flax), 842 nucleotides long. The record is from RefSeq and is a predicted model, not a curated record. NCBI's taxonomy places the organism in Eukaryota, Viridiplantae, Streptophyta, Magnoliopsida, Brassicales, Brassicaceae.
UGCUUAACAAUAUAAAGAAUUGGGGGGAGACUACUGAUGAUCUUCUUUUUUUCUAAAGUGUGCUUCUAUGUUUCGGCUGUCUGCAGUUUAUUUGAUGACCGUCUUUGUAUCAGGUGAUAAAUUAUUUACUUUAUCCAACAUGCCAUAAUUUACGUGUUAGACAGGAUUCCCAGGGUCGCUUCAACCUCUAUAGGGUGUUUAGCUUUCUCCAUUUUCUCUCACACACCCACAAUCAUUGUGCUCUGCAUAAAAUAAACGUGAUGAAUUACCUUAGAAUCACAUAUGAAUUUGAUAUCAUUUGAAAAAAGAUAUUGGUUCAUAUUGCAUUUUUCUUUAUGUUGAGGGUAUCAAGGAAGAACUUGUUUUGUCUCCUGGCCACGCACUUCAUUUAUUGCAGCUGGAGAAGAACAUCGCUAUGUUGGUUUAAAUAAUUUCAACUUGUAGAGCAGCAGAAGCCACACUAUAUUUUACACUGAUGGUUGAAAGUAGAACCUAAAUGAGGCGAUACUAGGGUUCUUGCAGAACAAUGAACAGAUCACUGAUUCGGGUCACUUCUCUGCGGUAUUUCAACCUUGACUACAACUAAGUCGUCAGCGUCACCAAUGGGUCUCCCCGAAGAUGUUAGAGUAAUUGCUUGGGGUCUUUCUCUUGAGAGACCGACAAUGAUAUUAUACGGUAUUGACAACAUCCGCGAUUUGUUUGGACACAAGGUAACCACGAGAUCUUUACUUCUUCUGACUUCUUUGUAUAUCAAUAUUUGUGUGUGUGUACUCAACUCAUUUACAAUAUGGCUUGUCGAAUUUUUGAUUCUUUUUGGUUAUGUACGAUACAAUUUGUGUUUA